This 949-nucleotide ribosomal RNA is filed under the name Teladorsagia circumcincta. RNAcentral describes it as "16S ribosomal RNA". The record is from RNAcentral. Lineage: Eukaryota; Metazoa; Nematoda; Chromadorea; Rhabditida; Trichostrongylidae.
UAAUGUUGUUGUAAAAAUUUUGGUAUUGCAUAUCAAUUAUAAAAAAUUUUGUAAUUAACAAAAAAUAAAAAUAAAAGGUAGAAAUUAUUGUAGUUUUAUUGUUUCACAAUAAAAAAAAGAUAAUUUAGGGUUGAAAAGUCGACUUUUAUAAUAUUUGUUUUUAUUAAUUUUAUUAGAAAAUUAUAAUAUUAAAAAUAUUAAUAAAGUAAAUUUAUAAGUUAAAGUAUUAGAUUUUUUAGUUUUAUAACUGUUUAUUUUUAUAUUUUAUAGUCAAAAAAAUUAAUUAUUAAAUUUUUAAUGAUUAUAGUAUUGUAAUAUAAGUAAAAAUUUAAAAGUUUUUUUUUAGUAAAUUUAAUAAAAAAAUUAAAAAUUUAAUCAAAUGUUUUUUAAAGACUUAGACUUUAAUUUAAAGUUUGCUUCUGCCCUAUGAUUAAUUUAAAUGGCAGUCUUAGCGUGAGGACAUUAAGGUAGCAAAAUAAUUUGUGCUUUUAUUAAGUUCCAGUAUGAAUGAAGUUAUUGGUUAAUUUUUUUUUAUUUUUUAUUGAACUUUUUUUUAUAUAAAAAAUUAUAAAUAUAAUUAUACAAAGAUAAGUCUUUGGAAAUUUUUUUAAAUUAUUAAUAUAAUUAAUAAUUUUAAGUUUUCUAGGGCAGAGUUUUAUUUAAUUUUUGUUUCUAUUGAUAAGUUAAAAAAUUACUCCAGAGUUAACAGAAAAUCAUACUUAAUCUAGUUCUUAUAGUAAAGUAAGUUUUACAUCGAUGUUGUAUUUAAGUAAAUUAAAAAAGGAGAAAAUUUAAUUGUUUAGACUGUUCUUCUAUUAAUUAACUUAACGUGAUAUUAGUUUAAUUCAUUGUAAGAUAGAAUUGUUUAUCUUGUUAAUUAAAAAAUUUAAAUAUUAUUAGUACGAAAGGAAAAUUGUAAAAGUUUUAAACUUUUUAAGAUUAAAUCUUC